GACGAACGCUGGCGGCGUGCCUAAUACAUGCAAGUGGGACGCAAGGGAACACACUGUGCUUGCACACCGUGUUUUCUUGAGUCGCGAACGGGUGAGUAACGCGUAGGUAACCUGCCUAUUAGCGGGGGAUAACUAUUGGAAACGAUAGCUAAUACCGCAUAAUAUUAAUUAUUGCAUGAUAAUUGAUUGAAAGAUGCAAGCGCAUCACUAGUAGAUGGACCUGCGUUGUAUUAGCUAGUUGGUAAGGUAAGAGCUUACCAAGGCGACGAAACAUAGCCGACCUGAGAGGGUGAUCGGCCACACUGGGACUGAGACACGGCCCAGACUCCUACGGGAGGCAGCAGUAGGGAAUCUUCGGCAAUGGACGAAAGUCUGACCGAGCAACGCCGCGUGAGUGAAGAAGGUUUUCGGAUCGUAAAGCUCUGUUGUAAGUCAAGAACGUGUGUGAGAGUGGAAAGUUCACACAGUGACGGUAGCUACCAGAAA
This 486-nucleotide ribosomal RNA is filed under the name Streptococcus mutans. Its description in RNAcentral is "bacterial SSU rRNA". It matches the Rfam family "Bacterial small subunit ribosomal RNA", at positions 28 to 489 of the family's 1533-position model. The record is from RNAcentral. Lineage: Bacteria; Bacillati; Bacillota; Bacilli; Lactobacillales; Streptococcaceae.